Molecule: ribosomal RNA, 587 nt
Filed under: Periconia macrospinosa
Lineage: Eukaryota; Fungi; Ascomycota; Dothideomycetes; Pleosporales; Periconiaceae
Description: eukaryotic LSU rRNA
Rfam family: 5.8S ribosomal RNA (bases 215-368)
Source: RNAcentral
AUUUAGAGGAAGUAAAAGUCGUAACAAGGUUUCCGUAGGUGAACCUGCGGAAGGAUCAUUACGAAAUUCGGCGCGCUUCGGCGCUGCCUUAUUCACCCACCCUUUGUCUACGUGUACCUCUAUAGCUUCCUCGGCGGGCUCGCCCGCCGCCAGGAACCCACGAAACCCCUUGCAUUAUACACGAAAACUUCUGAUAACAAACCUAAAUUAUUACAACUUUCAACAAUGGAUCUCUUGGUUCUGGCAUCGAUGAAGAACGCAGCGAAAUGCGAUAAGUAGUGUGAAUUGCAGAAUUCAGUGAAUCAUCGAAUCUUUGAACGCACAUUGCGGCCAUAGGUAUUCCUUUGGCCAUGCCUGUUCGAGCGUCAUUUACACCCUCAAGCCUAGCUUGGUGUUGGGCGUCUGUCCCGCCGWUUUCGCGCGCGGACUCGCCUCAAAGUCAUUGGCGGCGGUCGUGCCGGCUCCUCGCGCAGCACAUUUGCGCUUCUCGGAGGCCCGGCGGAUCCGCGCUCCAGCAAAGACCUUUCAUGACUUGACCUCGGAUCAGGUAGGGAUACCCGCUGAACUUAAGCAUAUCAAUAAGCGGA